Molecule: ribosomal RNA, 253 nt
Filed under: uncultured bacterium
Lineage: Bacteria
Description: partial 16S ribosomal RNA
Rfam family: Bacterial small subunit ribosomal RNA
Source: RNAcentral
UACGGAGGGUGCUAGCGUUGUUCGGAAUCACUGGGCGUAAAGGGCGUGUAGGCGGCCUGCUAAGUCUGAUGUGAAAUCCCCUCGCUCAACGAGGGAACUGCGUCGGAUACUGGCAGACUCGAGUACCGGAGAGGAAGGUGGAAUUCCCGGUGUAGCGGUGAAAUGCGUAGAUAUCUGGAGGAACACCGGUGGCGAAGGCGGCAUCCUGGACCGACACUGACGCUGAGGAGCGAAAGCCAGGGGAGCAAACGGG